Molecule: ribosomal RNA, 2616 nt
Filed under: Triticum aestivum (bread wheat)
Lineage: Eukaryota; Viridiplantae; Streptophyta; Magnoliopsida; Poales; Poaceae
Description: partial small subunit ribosomal RNA
Source: RNAcentral
AUGGGGGCGAUUGGAGGCAACGAGUCCGUGCAGUGGGACAAGAUGAAUGGGGCGGAGGUGGUGAAUGGCGGUGGGAGUGGCGCAGGAAGCCUGGAUAGGAUACAGGUGUUAGUGAGGGUGAGGCCGCUGAGUGACAAGGAGAUUGCAAGGGGUGAGCCUGCCGAGUGGGAGUGCAUCAAUGACACCACCAUCAUGUUCCGGAGUACCUUCCCGGAUCGACCCACGGCUCCAACCGCAUACACAUUUGACAGGGUAUUUCAUUCUGAGUGCAGUACGAAAGAAGUCUACCAGGAAGGGGUCAAGGAAGUUGCCCUCUCUGUAGUUGGUGGCAUUAACUCAAGUGUUUUUGCGUACGGGCAAACAAGUAGUGGAAAGACAUACACUAUGACUGGAGUGACAGAAUGCACAGUAGCAGAUAUAUAUGAUUAUAUUAACAAGCAUGAGGAGAGAGCAUUCGUGUUGAAGUUCUCAGCAAUUGAAAUAUAUAAUGAAGUUGUUAGGGAUCUUCUGAGUGCAGAAAAUACUCCUCUUAGACUUUGGGAUGAUGCAGAGAAAGGCACCUACGUGGAGAAUCUUACGGAGGUUAUAUUAAGGGACUGGAACCACCUCAAGGGGCUUAUUUCCGUUUGCGAAGCUCAAAGGAGAACGGGGGAGACCUUCUUAAAUGAAAAAAGCUCCAGAUCACAUCAAAUACUUAAAUUGACUGUUGAAAGUUCUGCUCGUGAAUUCUUAGGAAAGGACAAGUCAACUACCCUUGUGGCUAGUGUGAACUUUGUUGAUUUGGCAGGAAGUGAGCGUGCAUCUCAGGCUAUGUCAGCUGGCACAAGGCUGAAAGAAGGUUGCCACAUCAAUAAAAGUUUGCUUUCCCUUGGCACUGUCAUUAGGAAGCUAAGCAUGGGGAGUAAUGCACACGUACCGUAUAGAGACUCCAAGCUUACACGCAUAUUACAACCUUCUUUGGGAGGCAAUGCAAGAACUGCAAUUAUUUGUACACUCAGCCCUGCAACAAGUCACAUUGAGCAAUCAAGGAAUACACUCUUUUUCGGGAGUUGUGCAAAGGAUGUAGUUACAAAUGCCCAGGUUAAUGUGGUCAUGUCCGAUAAAACACUAGUUAAGCAUUUGCAGAAGGAAGUUGCUAGACUGGAGAGUGAGUUGCGGCAGCCAGUUUCAAACUCUAGUCUGGAAGCACAGGUGAAGGAAAAGGACAACCAAAUCAGAAAGAUGGAGAAAGAAAUAAAAGAACUGAAGUCGCAACGUGAUUUGGCUCAGUCCAGGUUGCAGGAUUUGCUGCAAGUUGUUGGUGAUCGUGACCCAAAGCACCAGGUCUCAGGAAAGCGUUCAAUCAGAAGUCCUCCUUCUGUUGGAAUGCCCCCAAGCGCUAGCAGAGAUGACAGUUCUCAGAUCUCUCAUGAUGAUUCAGAUCAUUACAAGGAAGUGCGAUGUAUUGAGCCAAAUGAAACGGGAGGAAAUGAACGUUUGUCUUUGUCAGCUGGAGAAAGUACCAGCCCACAAGCUUCAAAUAGGAAUUCUAGCAUGCGUGGUAAUGAUUCAACAGCUUCAGUGAAUUCAAGGCGUCUUGGUGAACCUCCUAUUACCUUGGAGCAACAUUUGGAGAACAUCAGAAGGCCUUUUAUCACUAAAGAUCUAGGGUCUUCAACACGCAACCCAUCAAGUUGUAGAGUAAUUGGUAGAAGCAGGAGCUGUAGAUCACUAACAGGGUCUACUUUACUUGAUGAGAUGGAGAUGGAGGAUUGCACACCAGUAAACAGAAGUUUGGUAAUCUUCCCAGGAAGACCUGAAGAGUACCAGAGAAGAGGAUCUGCAUUGAACUACGAUGCAGGCAGUGAGACUCUUUCAAGGGCAGGAUCUGAAAUUAGCACUUCAAAGGGAGCUAGCAAGACAGGUGAUGCAGAAUUUACCGGUAUAGGUGAAUUUGUUGCUGAACUUAAGGAGAUGGCUCAGGUUCAUUAUCAGAAACAGUUAGGUGACCAGAGUGGGAAUGGAAAGAGCAUCGGAUUAGACCCAAUCAUGGAUGGUUUGCAAUCACCUUCGCGAUGGCCAUUGGAAUUCGAGAAGAAACAGCAGGAGAUCAUUGAGCUCUGGCACGCUUGCAGCAUUUCGUUGGUCCACAGGACUUACUUCUUCUUGCUGUUCAAAGGAGAAUCAGCCGAUUCGAUUUACAUGGAAGUGGAGCUUCGAAGGCUGUCGUUCCUCAGAGACACCUACUCUAGGGGAAGCACCCCCAGCAAUGUGACCGUAGGCAGCCUCAGCUCUUCCCCCGUCGCGAGCGCCAAGAAGCUGCAGCGCGAGAGGGAGAUGCUGGCGAGGCAGAUGCAGAAGCGGCUGUCCUUGGAGGAGAGGAACCACAUGUACACCAAGUGGAGCGUGUCGCUGGACUCCAAGAAGAGGAAGCUGCAGGUGGCUCGCCGGCUGUGGACGGAGAGCAGAGACCUGGAGCACGUGAGGGAGAGCGCGUCCCUGGUGGCCAAGCUGAUCGGGCUCCAGGAGCCCGGGCAGGUCCUGAGGGAGAUGUUCGGGCUCAGCUUCGCGCCGCAGCAGCCCCCCGCCCGGCGGUCCUCCAACGGCUGGAGAUACGGGAUCCCCUCCUUUGGCUGA